Non-coding RNA from Podarcis muralis (Common wall lizard), 1587 nucleotides. Lineage: Eukaryota; Metazoa; Chordata; Lepidosauria; Squamata; Lacertidae. The record is from RefSeq and is a predicted model, not a curated record.
AGGAGCCGAGGGUGCGGGGAGAGAGGGAUCUCUGGGGGUUUAAUCUACUAGAACCUGAAGCUAAAGAAUUGGUUGGAUGGCUCAAGUCUGUGGGUGUCAGGAACCCACCAUUGCUCUCCCCCCCUUCUGCCUUUCUGCCCCUUCCUUCCCAAAUCACAGCCACCCCUGCUCUAGUCCCCUGCUGCCUCCAUGCCAGGCUGUGCCCAUCUCUCUUUGCCCCACAGGACCUGCUUCUCCCCCCCACUGCUGUCCUUGAGCCCCCUUGCCUCUGGGCUGCCUGUCCCUGGACUCUUCUUAGGCCCCUCCCCGAUUGAGACAGAUUUGGGAUGAGGGUGGAAGGAGGGAGGAGAAGGGCUGGGGGGAUGGGAUCUCCCUCUCCGGGAUCCUGACUCCUGUGUUUCCUCCCUUUUGCAGUAAGAGACCAGGGGCUCGACUGCUCCGCCAGGGUUUCAUACCAGCCCAGUGUGUGAGAUGAAACCAGAAGGAGCCUGCCCAAGUUUGGCUGUGAAUUGCAGAGGCUCAGAGCUCCUCCUGUCCUUAAAUGCUGUUUCGGAUGUUCCUUAAUCCUGUCCUUGAGCCCCCUUGCCUCUGGGCUGCCUGUCCCUGAACUCUUCUUAGGCCCCUCCCCAUAUUGAGACUGAUAUGGAAUGGGGUCGGAAGGAGGGAGGAGAAGGGCUGGGAUCUCCCUUCCUGGGAUCCUGACUCCUGUAUUUCCUCCCUUUUGCAGCAAGCGACCAGGGGUCCGACAUCUCCACCGGGUUUCAUACCAGCCUGGUGUGUGAGAUGAGACCAGAAGGAGCCUGCCCAAGUUUGGCUGUGAAUUGCAGAGGCUCAGAGCUCCUGCUGUCCUUUAAUGCAGUUACAACAUCUGGAUAUGGAGGGGUUUUGUCCGUGUUGACCAAGAGCCAUGCUCCGGUUCCCCUGCAGAUGGGAGGGACGUCCACCACCAGCCCUCUUGGGUCACCUCCUGCAUCCCCAGAACCUCACUCUCCUGUCUGACUAGAUCCAGAGUGGUCCAGAGGUGACCUCUGCUGGAGUUGAGGCCUCUUCUCAAACAUCCUCAGGCAGAGCAGAGAAUGAGGAGCUCCAGGGGGCAUUCGGACCUUCCUCAUGGCAAUGGCAGCUGCUGAGGCAGUUUCCUCCAGACCCUCUUUCUGUCCCGAUACCUUCAAGGCUCCAGUUCUCCAGCCUGGUUCAUGGAGCUCCACGUCCAGGACAACCAGCUGCUGUUCUCUGGGGCUCCACCCUGGACCUCCCAUGAUGCCCUGGGGCAGUGAGUUGAGAAACAGGCUGGAGAGGGAGGAAGAAGCAGCUGAAGGGGGAAAUGGAGAAGCAGGGAACUGAGAAAGAGGUAGAGAGGCUGAGGGGAUGGGGUGUAGUGACUCUCCUGCAGGAGAUGAGAGGGACUGAUCCUGCUGAAGGCAAGGAGGAAGCCAGCAAGGAGACCUCCUGGGGCUGCAGGAAUCUUCUCGCCCAACCCAAUGGAUUUGCUGCACCUUGCUUUGAAGACACUGGAUGUAAUUUUUUUUUUACUUUUGUAAUAUAUGUUUGACUUAAAUAAAUAAGGGUGCACCCCCUUUGUCUUUA